This is a long non-coding RNA of Papaver somniferum (opium poppy), 876 nucleotides long. RefSeq lists it as uncharacterized. The record is from RefSeq and is a predicted model, not a curated record. The transcript is spliced from 2 exons. Lineage: Eukaryota; Viridiplantae; Streptophyta; Magnoliopsida; Ranunculales; Papaveraceae.
CAAAUUGAAAGGAAUAAACAACAAAAAGAAAAGGUAAAGUGAGAUAAUAAUAGGAACAAAGACAAAGUACAGGAGAGCCACAAUUGAAUGUGGGAUAAUAAUAGCUGAAAUUGAAUGUGCGAAUGCAAACAAUUUCACAAGAUCCACUUUCUUUAGUUAUUACAGGUGACAUUUACAAUGUCUACUCUUCGUCAAGGGCCGCUACUACUAUAGAAAAAUAUUACAAACCUCAAUCUAGUCAAAUGACUCAAAUUGAAGAAGCAACGACAAGCAGUGCUCCAUUUUCAUCUCCAUCAAACACUAGAAAUCACCAGUUGUAAUUUGUAAACCUUGAACAUGAAGGAGUUGAAGCAAUGGAUAUUCGAAGUGUACCUGAUGUUCUCGAAAAUGCAUAUGUUACUUCUUUAGAAAGGGACCCCGGGUUAUGUAUUCCAACAAUGCAGCAUCCUGUUAAUAAGCGUGAUGAAGUUUCGCGGAGGUUACCUACAAAUAGGGCGCAAUAGAACAAAGCUUACCAAGUAUCCAGCUACUCCAGUGGGAAUUCAAGUCCGUCGAUUUUCUGCCAAGUGGUUUGACGAAUUUCAUUGGGUGGAGUAUUCUUAAGAUAAAGAUGUUGUGUUCUGUUUUUUAUACAAAUGGGGCGCAAUAUGCCAGAGUACACUUGUGAAGGGUUUAGAAAUUGGCAUAAUGUUAAGAAUGGAACCAAGUGUGCAUUUUUAGCUCACAUGGGUAAAAGUAAUUCUGUACACUUUAAAUGUGUAGAGGCUGGUGAGAAUUGAAAGAAUUCAACCAGGCUACUAUGUAUAUAUGUAUACAGUGAUAACUUUUUUUGUAUUGAUGGUGUUCUCUUUAGUAGUUAUAUAAGUAACGGGUUCC